GUCAUGUUAGUUUAUAUUAAAAUGUGUGAUUUGUAAUCAUGAGUGUUAGUGACU
Molecule: transfer RNA, 54 nt
Filed under: Baylisascaris schroederi (giant panda roundworm)
Lineage: Eukaryota; Metazoa; Nematoda; Chromadorea; Rhabditida; Ascarididae
Description: tRNA-Thr
Source: RNAcentral